GCUUCUUCACCGCCAGCUUCUUCCCCUCUCCCUCUGAAGUGGCUGAAAAACAGGUUCAGACUGUCAGCAGGACAAAGGGUUUCUGAUGAGACUCCGCAAGUUUUAAGCACUACAUCAGUCCUAAGACCACAUCCACCUCCUCCUCUGUGGCAUACUAAACCCAGGCCACCACUUGGCGCUCCUCCCAGCAAGACCGCUUCAUCAGCUAAACUAAUUAACAGUUCUCCACUGCCUAGCACUUGUGGACAGCACAGAAGAACAACAUCCUCCUCUGGACCUAGAAAAACACAAAUGCCUACCGCCUCACUUCCAGGGCCCGGCAGUGACCAGAUAAUAGUUGAAACCACACACUGCUGCAGUCUUUCUCCAGAGCAAGAUAGUGCAUGUCUCCGCUGCAUGACCCCGACUUCUAAUACUGGUUUUCAAGCAAAAACUCCAAGAAAUUCACCCCUCUAUGAAACCCAUCUAUCAUCCAUUCGCAGCCCGAGCAGAAAGUGUGAUUUGUCACCAAAGAGGGAGAGAAAAGGCUGCUCUGCCUGGAAGUCAAGAAACGUCAGUAGUAUCCCUUCACCUGCUCUCAGCUCUCACUGUGAUGCAGGCAGUUACAGCAACAAUAAUACUGACCAUUCUGGGUCAACGACAGUGAAAUCAAACACACAGAAUAGUACCUGUGGAGGUAGUUUAGUGUCAACAACAGUGCAGACAGAUAGCGACAGAAGGAAGAGUACUGAGAGUUACUGUGUUGGCAGUGGGGAAAGCAACAUUGGAAUUGAUAUUAAUAAAUCUUGGGAAGGAUGUCGCCCAACAGCAAAGCCUAGUAGCCACUGUUUGACAGACCGCCUCUCACAUCAUCCAGAAAGCAGAGAUAUACAGGGGCAGGCCAAGUGCACCCAUCCAGCGUCCAUACGGAUAAAUGGGCAAUUCUUUACUUUCCCCAAAAGACCACCUGAGGGCACCGCGAGUCAGCCAAAAAGUGCCAAAGAGGCCCAGCCGGAACUGGGCGUUUAUAAACAACUUUUACCAGCUCCUCCUGCAAGGGUUUUGACUUGAAGUCAGCCAAUAAUUUCACUGCUGUGUCUGGUUCCUCACAGGGUUUUCCCCCCCAUAAAGCAUGAAUUAAAAUAAAAUUGAGUUCUUGUGCUUGUAA
This is a long non-coding RNA of Micropterus salmoides (largemouth bass), 1147 nucleotides long. RefSeq lists it as uncharacterized. The transcript is spliced from 2 exons. The record is from RefSeq and is a predicted model, not a curated record. Lineage: Eukaryota; Metazoa; Chordata; Actinopteri; Centrarchiformes; Centrarchidae.